AGUUAGAAAAUUGAUGGGAGGAGUGUCUUCAUGCAGGCGACAGUUAAUAGAUCGAAGGGGAAUCGAACUGAUAUAUCAAAAGCUGAACUCAUUCAAAGAAGUUCGUAUUGUCGGGUUUCAGGUCGCGACAUGGAUCUUCUUGAACUUUCUGCCUACGGCAAUGUCCGUCAUGGACAAGAUUCUGGGGGAUGUAAAAUUCAAUGAGUCAUUUUACGACAAUAUACUCAAGAAUGACAUUGUAUGCUUCCCCUUAAUUAUCAGUAUGACAAUAGUUAUUCCUCUAUUAAAUUUGUAGCUUACAAUUAUUGGAAGUUUCAUAUGCUUGUAUGCAUGAUUUUCUUGGGCAAUAGUAAUAGAGUUACAUCAUAAA
This is a long non-coding RNA of Solanum tuberosum (potato), 370 nucleotides long. RefSeq lists it as uncharacterized. The record is from RefSeq and is a predicted model, not a curated record. The transcript is spliced from 2 exons. Lineage: Eukaryota; Viridiplantae; Streptophyta; Magnoliopsida; Solanales; Solanaceae.